Molecule: long non-coding RNA, 450 nt
Filed under: Gallus gallus (chicken)
Lineage: Eukaryota; Metazoa; Chordata; Aves; Galliformes; Phasianidae
Description: long non-coding RNA NONGGAT008579
Source: RNAcentral
UUCUGAUAUAUGUUGGGUACCAUAGAGUGAGAGGGAACAGGAAGCGGAGGCAGAAUCAGAGGAUUCUGGAAAGGUCUCUGUGUUUUCUUUUCCACUGAGAAUACAGAAAUCACGAUUAAUUAGUAAAGCUUUGUGGAUGGAAAUCUGUACAAUUUCAGGAGGGGAUACAUAUUACCACGUUAUUUUUGGAUGCUGGGCUUUGCAGCGAUUUGACAUUCUUCUUCAAUCAGGAAUAAGAAACAAAAUAAUGACAAUGUAAAGUAAAUUUUAAAAGAGCCAGAAAUAUAUUUCAGAUGGGAAUAAAUUCUCCAAGACAUCUGAUCCUAAUCUCAGUGGCUGAAGACUAAAGUUUUCAAGAUUCUUCUCCUUAGGUUGGAAAAAUGUGGCUAUAUGGAUACGUAAAUUUAUCUUUGCCUACUGCAAUUGAUUUUGAGAAGCUCUGGAUGCCGG